GACGAACGCUGGCGGCGUGCUUAACACAUGCAAGUCGAACGGAAAGGCCCUGCUUUUGUGGGGUGCUCGAGUGGCGAACGGGUGAGUAACACGUGAGUAACCUGCCCUUGACUUUGGGAUAACUUCAGGAAACUGGGGCUAAUACCGGAUAGGAGCUCCUGCUGCAUGGUGGGGGUUGGAAAGUUUCGGCGGUUGGGGAUGGACUCGCGGCUUAUCAGCUUGUUGGUGGGGUAGUGGCUUACCAAGGCUUUGACGGGUAGCCGGCCUGAGAGGGUGACCGGCCACAUUGGGACUGAGAUACGGCCCAGACUCCUACGGGAGGCAGCAGUGGGGAAUAUUGCACAAUGGGCGGAAGCCUGAUGCAGCAACGCCGCGUGCGGGAUGAAGGCCUUCGGGUUGUAAACCGCUUUAGCCUGUGACGAAGCGUGAGUGACGGUAAUGGGUAAAGAAGCACCGGCUAACUACGUG
RNAcentral lists this ribosomal RNA (468 nucleotides) under uncultured bacterium. RNAcentral's name for it is "partial 16S ribosomal RNA". It matches the Rfam family "Bacterial small subunit ribosomal RNA", at positions 28 to 507 of the family's 1533-position model. The record is from RNAcentral.